Vigna radiata var. radiata (mung bean) is the source of this 114-nucleotide non-coding RNA. Lineage: Eukaryota; Viridiplantae; Streptophyta; Magnoliopsida; Fabales; Fabaceae. The record is from Rfam.
AAGCCAUGAUUGGGACACUUCCUCAAUAAAGCUUUGAAUCUUUCCCAGGCUUCACACAGUGGUUCAUCUACUCCUUGGACAAAAGUAGCAAUUGCAGCCUUUAUCUCUGUGCUU